Molecule: non-coding RNA, 1732 nt
Organism: Arachis ipaensis
Lineage: Eukaryota; Viridiplantae; Streptophyta; Magnoliopsida; Fabales; Fabaceae
Source: RefSeq, a predicted model, not a curated record
ACUGUUACAAUACACCAACCACUGGACUCAGUCGCUAAUAAAGACUAAAGUACAAAUAAGUAAAUAACUACCAUCAUAAGUUCAACCACCAAAUUCAAAGUACAAUGUGUAGUUCCUAGUUAGUUAGGGGAAAAACCAUUGCUUCAUUUCCAUCAGACCAUUUGAAAUUUUGGCAAUCAAAAUCCAUCUAAAACAAGCUAAUUAUAGUUAUAUGCUAUUAAUAGUUUUUGUAAUUGUCAUUUGUCAAGUCAGUCCAAUUAGGGGUGUUUAUGGGUGAGAUUGGAUCGGGUUUGAGGGCAAAUUAGAACCGAACCAAUUAAAUUGUCAUCGGAUCGGUUUGGAUUGGGUAAGGCAUCUUUUGAGAAUAUACCCGAAUCAACCCAAACCGAUUAAAUCCCGAAUUGGAUUGGUUCAGGUGGUUGGGUACUCGAUUAAAUCUUAAAUUUGAAACAAAAAAAAUUGGGAGAAAAGGGAAAAAAAUUUUCAGUAGCAAAAUUUAAAAACGGGUAUGAUCAAUUUUAGCAAUAUUAAAACAAAUCAUAGUCAUACCAUUGUUCCGAAAAUCGAACCGGACCAUCCGGUUCGACCGGAAACCGGUCAUUUUGUCCGGUUCGGUUGAUGUGAUAAACCAUCCUGCAAAAAAUUGACUUAAAAACUGGUCAAACUGAUGGUUAAUCAAUGAACCGUUAAAACAGUCCGAUCUUUUGCCGGUUCAGUGGUUUAAAAAAAAAAAUCAAAAGUUCGGAACCUCUCAAUUAGGCAAACCCUAAUUCCGAUAGAUGGUGUUGUCGCCGCCAGCGGAGACAGACUUGGGUGCCAUCGUCGCUCGUGGAAGGUCUGCUCGCUUCUCGAUCCUCUUCUCCUCGACGUUGAGUGCUUGCUCGGAACUGUUGGCGACACCGCCGCAAAGGGCUUCUCCGUCGUCGUCUCUGCUCUAUCUGUUGGUGCCCAUCUCUCUCUUCGAGUUCUCUCUCUAUCCGAGGCUCAGAGCUCUCCCUGUCUCUCUCAUUGCGACGUCUCUCUCUACUCGGCUGUGGAGUAUUCGUUGCUCCGUCACCUUCCUUCCUCCCUCGCCGUCGAUAACCACUACUGGCUCAGUUUAUUUUUGGUUAUUUUGUUAAUUUUAUUUAUUCUGAUUUUUGAGUUGCUGGCCGUUGAUUUUUCUGAUUCUGCGUUGUUGAUGAACAUUGUUAAUGCUAUAAUUUUUUCUGAUUCUGAGUUGUUUAUGUUAAUUUUGAGUUGUUUAUGUUGGUUUUUCUGAUUCUGAGUUGUUAGUUUUGGUUGCUGAUUUUUUUUAUUCUGGAUUGUUGAUGGUGGUAUGGUAAAAUUGUUUUUCAUCAUUUCUCAUCUUUCAGUAGCACAAAUUACAUUUCUUUCUUGUACAUUUUUUGUUAAAAUUUAUACACUUCUUUGAACUUUGAAGUAUGCUAGAAAGAGUUUCAAUUUUUUUUUGUAUUGAAAAUUCCAAUCAAGUCCCUUUGUACUGGGUUUGUCAAAGUUUCUGGUUUUAAUGUUGGUGAAAUUCUCAAUGAGAAUGAGAAGGAGAACAUCACAAGGACUAGUAUUCAACAAUAUGAUAUUGCUAUUGUAGAACAUUAUAAUUCUUUAUUUGUUAAUUUUUUUCAUUCUAUUAUAUUUUUUGUUUUUAUGAUUUUUAUGAAAUUGGAAUAAUUGUUUGUGGUUAAACAUUAUUUCUUUGUCAUUUAAGUGCAUUUUGAUUUUUAUUAGUUAA